GAGAGUAUAGUUCAAGUGGUAGAGGGCAUGCUUAGCAUGCAUGAGGUUCCGGGUUCAAUCCCCAGUACCUCCU
Molecule: transfer RNA, 73 nt
Filed under: Camelus bactrianus (Bactrian camel)
Lineage: Eukaryota; Metazoa; Chordata; Mammalia; Artiodactyla; Camelidae
Also listed under: 1 other name
Rfam family: tRNA
About the family: Transfer RNA (tRNA) molecules are approximately 80 nucleotides in length. Their secondary structure includes four short double-helical elements and three loops (D, anti-codon, and T loops). Further hydrogen bonds mediate the characteristic L-shaped molecular structure. tRNAs have two regions of fundamental functional importance: the anti-codon, which is responsible for specific mRNA codon recognition, and the 3' end, to which the tRNAs corresponding amino acid is attached (by aminoacyl-tRNA synthetases). tRNAs cope with the degeneracy of the genetic code in two manners: having more than one tRNA (with a specific anti-codon) for a particular amino acid; and 'wobble' base-pairing, i.e. permitting non-standard base-pairing at the 3rd anti-codon position.
Source: Rfam by way of RNAcentral